Molecule: long non-coding RNA, 818 nt
Organism: Camellia sinensis
Lineage: Eukaryota; Viridiplantae; Streptophyta; Magnoliopsida; Ericales; Theaceae
Source: RefSeq, a predicted model, not a curated record
AGUGCUCCAUUAAAACAUCAAAAUUAAUACUCUGAAUCGUUGCUGCUAAAAAACCUGUCAAUUUCUCUCUCUCCUUGCCAUUAUAUAUAUAACGUCCAUUCAGUCCAAAAACCAAACAUACCAAACUCAUCUUGAUGCUUGGACUUGGUUUCUGUCAUCAGAUCAUCCGUUCAGCUCUCAAACUAUCCCAUUCUUCUCUCUUCCUCUACUGAAUUGGACAAAUUCUACAUAAAAAUGAAUCACAAGGCCAACAGCAUUCCAAAGCUUGACUUGAAGCUCAACCUGUCUCCUCCAUGGCCAUACCCACAGCUCCAAGCAGCAUCGUCGCCAACGAACAGAUCAGUUUCGUUGUCUCCUCCGAGCUCGUGCGUGUCGUCGUUGGAGCUCAGCCCCGAUCACCACCACCACCGCUGUUUUCGCUAUCCAAGCAGCCCGGAAGCGAAAACAAUGAUGCUUGUGGGAUGCCCUCAGUGUCUCAUGUAUGUUAUGUUGUCUGAGGAUGAUCCAAAGUGCCCCAAAUGCAAGAGCACUGUCUUGCUUCAGAUUCUUCAUGAAGAAAUCACCACCAAAAGGACUCAGAAAUGAAUCAAGCUUUUUGGGUUUAUUUUCUAAACCUUCAUGGAUCCAACUUUUAGUUACUAUGUUUUUUUGUUUUUUGUUUUUUUGGGGGGUUAUGUGGUGUGUUUGGUUGCCCAAAAGAGAGAAGAAAGGAAAGAACGUUUUGAUUCUGUUGAAGUUUGAUUUUAGUGUGAUUGUAAAUCCUAAAUUUGCUUCUGUUUCUCUCUGUAUUCUUUGCAACCAAACAAGCCUUGUGUUCU